Molecule: long non-coding RNA, 216 nt
Filed under: Phoenix dactylifera (date palm)
Lineage: Eukaryota; Viridiplantae; Streptophyta; Magnoliopsida; Arecales; Arecaceae
Description: long non-coding RNA (PDAC_LNC018243)
Source: RNAcentral
GAUCUUUCUUGCUAGUGUAGGUACUGUGUCCACCCCCAGAUGAUCGAACCUCACCUCAUCUACAUUGUUUUGGAGCUGGAGAUUGCUCAACUAAGAAUGGGCAGAUGUCCAGCUUCAACAGUUUCAUCUUGGAGGCCUCUCUAGCUCAAUCCAACAUAAUUCCCUUUCCUCAAGUUGCUCAAGAUGCGAAAAGCAGCCUGGCUAACACCGCCAUCG